GGUUAAGUGACUAAGCGUACACGGUGGAUGCCUAGGCAGUCAGAGGCGAUGAAGGGCGUGCUAAUCUGCGAAAAGCGUCGGUAAGGUGAUAUGAACCGUUAUAACCGGCGAUACCCGAAUGGGGAAACCCAGUGUGUUUCGACACACUAUCAUGUCAUGAAUACAUAGUGGCAUGAGGCGAACCGGGGGAACUGAAACAUCUAAGUACCCCGAGGAAAAGAAAUCAACCGAGAUUCCCCCAGUAGCGGCGAGCGAACGGGGAGGAGCCCAGAACCUGAAUCGGCUUGUGUGUUAGUGGAAGCGUCUGGAAAGUCGCGCAGCAAAGGGUGAUAGCCCCGUACACUAAAAUGCACAGGUCGUGAGUUCGAUGAGUAGGGCGGGACACGUGACAUCCUGUCUGAAUAUGGGGGGACCAUCCUCCAAGGCUAAAUACUCCUGACUGACCGAUAGUGAACCAGUACCGUGAGGGAAAGGCGAAAAGAACCCCGGCGAGGGGAGUGAAAUAGAACCUGAAACCGUGUACGUACAAGCAGUGGGAGCACCUUCGUGGUGUGACUGCGUACCUUUUGUAUAAUGGGUCAGCGACUUAUAUUUUGUAGCAAGGUUAACCGUAUAGGGGAGCCGUAGGGAAACCGAGUCUUAACUGGGCGAAUAGUUGCAAGGUAUAGACCCGAAACCCGGUGAUCUAGCCAUGGGCAGGUUGAAGGUUGGGUAACACUAACUGGAGGACCGAACCGACUAAUGUUGAAAAAUUAGCGGAUGACUUGUGGCUGGGGGUGAAAGGCCAAUCAAACCGGGAGAUAGCUGGUUCUCCCCGAAAGCUAUUUAGGUAGCGCCUCGUGAACUCAUCUUCGGGGGUAGAGCACUGUUUCGGCUAGGGGGCCAUCCCGGCUUACCAAACCGAUGCAAACUCCGAAUACCGAAGAAUGUUAUCACGGGAGACACACGGCGGGUGCUAACGUCCGUCGUGAAGAGGGAAACAACCCAGACCGCCAGCUAAGGUCCCAAAGUCAUGGUUAAGUGGGAAACGAUGUGGGAAGGCACAGACAGCCAGGAUGUUGGCUUAGAAGCAGCCAUCAUUUAAAGAAAGCGUAAUAGCUCACUGGUCGAGUCGGCCUGCGCGGAAGAUGUAACGGGGCUAAACCAUGCACCGAAGCUGCGGC
RNAcentral lists this ribosomal RNA (1163 nucleotides) under Serratia marcescens. RNAcentral's name for it is "partial 23S ribosomal RNA". It matches the Rfam family "Bacterial large subunit ribosomal RNA", at positions 1 to 1206 of the family's 2925-position model. Lineage: Bacteria; Pseudomonadati; Pseudomonadota; Gammaproteobacteria; Enterobacterales; Yersiniaceae. The record is from RNAcentral.